AUUGAACGCUGGCGGCAUGCUUUACACAUGCAAGUCGAACGGCAGCGCGGGCUUCGGCCUGGCGGCGAGUGGCGAACGGGUGAGUAAUGCAUCGGAACGUGCCCAGUAGUGGGGGAUAGCCCGGCGAAAGCCGGAUUAAUACCGCAUACGACCUGAGGGUGAAAGCGGGGGACCGAAAGGCCUCGCGCUAUUGGAGCGGCCGAUGUCGGAUUAGCUAGUUGGUGGGGUAAAGGCUUACCAAGGCGACGAUCCGUAGCUGGUCUGAGAGGACGACCAGCCACACUGGGACUGAGACACGGCCCAGACUCCUACGGGAGGCAGCAGUGGGGAAUUUUGGACAAUGGGGGCAACCCUGAUCCAGCCAUGCCGCGUGCGGGAAGAAGGCCUUCGGGUUGUAAACCGCUUUUGUUCGGGAAGAAAUCCUCUGGGCUAAUACCCCGGGGGGAUGACGGUACCGGAAGAAUAAGCACCGGCUAACAACGUG
This 484-nucleotide ribosomal RNA is filed under the name uncultured bacterium. RNAcentral's name for it is "partial 16S ribosomal RNA". It matches the Rfam family "Bacterial small subunit ribosomal RNA", at positions 29 to 507 of the family's 1533-position model. The record is from RNAcentral.